This 77-nucleotide transfer RNA is filed under the name Pseudomonas phage Kremar. RNAcentral describes it as "tRNA-Arg". It matches the Rfam family "tRNA". Rfam says of the family: Transfer RNA (tRNA) molecules are approximately 80 nucleotides in length. Their secondary structure includes four short double-helical elements and three loops (D, anti-codon, and T loops). The record is from RNAcentral. Lineage: Duplodnaviria; Heunggongvirae; Uroviricota; Caudoviricetes; Vandenendeviridae.
GUUGAUCUUCGUCUAGUGGAGAGGAUACCGGCGAGCGAAGCUGGAGACAUGGGUUCGAAUCCCGUAGAUCAACACUU